AUUGAACGCUGGCGGUAUGCUUAACACAUGCAAGUCGAACGAUGAGAAAGAGCUUGCUCUUUCGAUUAGUGGCGGACGGGUGCGUAACGCGUAGGAAUCUACCUAUUAGUGGGGGACAACUUAGGGAAACUUAAGCUAAUACCGCAUACGCCCUACGGGGGAAAGAAGGGGAUCGCAAGACCUUUUGCUAAUAGAUGAGCCUGCGUAGGAUUAGCUAGUUGGUGGGGUAAAAGCUCACCAAGGCGACGAUCCUUAACUGGUUUGAGAGAAUGAUCAGUCACACUGGAACUGAGACACGGUCCAGACUCCUACGGGAGGCAGCAGUGGGGAAUAUUGGACAAUGGGCGAAGGCCUGAUCUAGCAAUACCGCGUGUGUGAAGAAGGCCUUAGGGUUGUAAAGCACUUUCAAUUGGAAGGAAAACCUCGAAGCUAAUACCUUCGAGUUUGACAUUACCUUUAGAAGAAGCACCGGCUAACUCCGUGCCAGCCGCCGCGGUAA
This 499-nucleotide ribosomal RNA is filed under the name uncultured bacterium. Its description in RNAcentral is "partial 16S ribosomal RNA". It matches the Rfam family "Bacterial small subunit ribosomal RNA", at positions 30 to 523 of the family's 1533-position model. The record is from RNAcentral.